This 245-nucleotide ribosomal RNA is filed under the name Rossellomorea aquimaris. RNAcentral describes it as "Bacillus aquimaris partial 16S ribosomal RNA". It matches the Rfam family "Bacterial small subunit ribosomal RNA", at positions 1296 to 1533 of the family's 1533-position model. The record is from RNAcentral. Lineage: Bacteria; Bacillati; Bacillota; Bacilli; Caryophanales; Bacillaceae.
GAUUGCAGGCUGCAACUCGCCUGCAUGAAGCUGGAAUCGCUAGUAAUCGCGGAUCAGCAUGCCGCGGUGAAUACGUUCCCGGGCCUUGUACACACCGCCCGUCACACCACGAGAGUUUGUAACACCCGAAGUCGGUGAGGUAACCUUUUGGAGCCAGCCGCCUAAGGUGGGACAGAUGAUUGGGGUGAAGUCGUAACAAGGUAGCCGUAUCGGAAGGUGCGGCUGGAUCACCUCCUUUCUAAGGA